AAAAUGAAUGCUGUAAAUGGGAAAUGAAUGGAUCAAAACAUGCAUGUUGUCUUGUACUGUGAUCUAUUCUUUCUUUAUUUUAUUUUCUGCAGAUAUAUUCUUUUUUUUUUAAUGGUUGAGUUUAUUUGUUCAAAUGGACACUAUAGUCACCAAAACAACUUUAGCUUUAUGAAGCAGUUUUUGUGUUUAGUUUUCUGUCCAUGAAGUCCUGUGUACGCAUCUACUGGCUUUGACUGACAAUCAGACGUAGCUUACUUUAAAAGUUUUAUCUCCUGGUCUGUAAAUUUAACUUUAAUUACAUACAGAGACUCCUACAGGGUCUAUGAUGCCAUUAACAGAGGAGGAGAUAAUACAUUCUAAAUUAGACAGAAAUUGCUAUAAAGGAAGUGUAAACCUUAGAUGACUCUUUACAGAAAGUGUUUAGGAAGGCCGUGCAAGUCACAUGCAGAGAGGUGUGACUAAGGCUGUAUAAACAAAGUGAUUUAACUUCUAAAUGGCAGAGAAUUGAGCAGUGAGACCGCAGAGGCAUGGUCUAUACACCAAAACUACCUUAUUAUGCUAAUGUUGCUUUAGUGACUAUAGUGUCCCUUUAAGUUGAAUGUAAUCUUUAAGAAAAUGAGAACAUGGUGACUCUUUUGCUUGGCUACACUGGAUAUACAAAUAUACCAUUCUGCUUUAUUAAAUUGACAUUUUAUAGAACAUUUAGGGACACAUACUUGGAUGCCUGAAUGUGGGGGGAACAAAAUGUGUUUAUAUAAGAUCCAUGCUGGCACUAUAUUUUAGGGUAAUUUGAAGAGUUCUAGCCGCUCAUAUCUCUACCUAAUGAAUGAAAACCGAACAAGUAGCCAUCAGAUCACUGAUAUUGAUUUCAUUAUUCCCAUCCCACAGCCCUGUGGGUGAAUGUUAAUGUUGAGGCAGUCAUGAGUUGGCGCUAUGUUAGUAAUAUUAACUUAGUGGGUUAGAAUAUGUUUGAAACCCUUUCCCAAGAUCUGUACCACAACUGGUGCAGCUCAAUCAUUUUAUGCAUACACCCUGAAAUAAUAGAUUAAUGGCAGGUGUAAACCAGGCUUUUAAUCUUCUACCAACAAAAUAAUGUUUCUGUUACUGAUGCAAGCCAGUGAGUAAUGGGGAUAUAACUUGAUAUCAUUGUGUAUUCAAUGCUUUAGGCAAUCUGUGGUUGAAUUAAAAGUUCUGUUGGCUUUCACAAGAUUACAGAGAUUUUAGCUUAAACUCAGUUUAAAACCUGCAGG
Pelobates cultripes (western spadefoot toad) is the source of this 1250-nucleotide non-coding RNA. The record is from the annotation of a GenBank genome assembly. NCBI's taxonomy places the organism in Eukaryota, Metazoa, Chordata, Amphibia, Anura, Pelobatidae.